This is a non-coding RNA of Pangasianodon gigas (Mekong giant catfish), 73 nucleotides long. The record is from the annotation of a GenBank genome assembly. Lineage: Eukaryota; Metazoa; Chordata; Actinopteri; Siluriformes; Pangasiidae.
UUUUAGGUAGCUCAGUGGUUAAGACGUUGGACUACUACACGGAAGGUCGUGAGUUCAAAUCCCACCACAGGGC